Molecule: long non-coding RNA, 404 nt
Filed under: Mytilus galloprovincialis (Mediterranean mussel)
Lineage: Eukaryota; Metazoa; Mollusca; Bivalvia; Mytilida; Mytilidae
Source: RNAcentral
UGGAAGGGCAGACUAACAAUUGUCAGUUGUUGAAAACUAUAAUCCCUAAUUAUGACACACAAAAAAGGAUUUGUUUUCGAAAAUGAGCAUUUAAACAUCCAAUUUAUCAAAACUAUCGUCAUGUACUUUUAGUAAAAAUUAGCUAUUCGAACACAUCUACUCAGUUUUUGUGAUUUGUUAGAAAGGUAUUUCACUUGACCCAUUUAUUUCAUCUUUUAGUACUGUGAAUUUCGUAAGUUAUAAAGUCAACCUUAGCCUUGAUAUGUAAAAAUGAUAGAAUCUGAAGCGAGAUGAGGUAUCACAUACCCUUGCUUUAUACGUUUUCAAGACAAAAUAUUCAACUGAAACACACCCUAACAUAAAAAGGUACACUAGAAUUUUCUUUUCGAUACAUUUGUUACCCA